GGAGAGGUGGCUGAGUGGUUGAAAGCGAUACACCGCUAACGUAUUAGGGGCUUUAAAACCCCUCGAGGGUUCGAAUCCCUCCCUCUCCG
This 89-nucleotide transfer RNA is filed under the name bacterium. Its description in RNAcentral is "tRNA-Ser". It matches the Rfam family "tRNA". Rfam says of the family: Transfer RNA (tRNA) molecules are approximately 80 nucleotides in length. Their secondary structure includes four short double-helical elements and three loops (D, anti-codon, and T loops). The record is from RNAcentral.